Molecule: ribosomal RNA, 517 nt
Filed under: uncultured Staphylococcus sp.
Lineage: Bacteria; Bacillati; Bacillota; Bacilli; Caryophanales; Staphylococcaceae
Description: bacterial SSU rRNA
Rfam family: Bacterial small subunit ribosomal RNA
Source: RNAcentral
AGAGUUUGAUCCUGGCUCAGGAUGAACGCUGGCGGCGUGCCUAAUACAUGCAAGUCGAGCGAACAGAUAAGGAGCUUGCUCCUUUGACGUUAGCGGCGGACGGGUGAGUAACACGUGGGUAACCUACCUAUAAGACUGGGAUAACUUCGGGAAACCGGAGCUAAUACCGGAUAACAUUUGGAACCGCAUGGUUCUAAAGUGAAAGAUGGUUUUGCUAUCACUUAUAGAUGGACCCGCGCCGUAUUAGCUAGUUGGUAAGGUAACGGCUUACCAAGGCAACGAUACGUAGCCGACCUGAGAGGGUGAUCGGCCACACUGGAACUGAGACACGGUCCAGACUCCUACGGGAGGCAGCAGUAGGGAAUCUUCCGCAAUGGGCGAAAGCCUGACGGAGCAACGCCGCGUGAGUGAUGAAGGGUUUCGGCUCGUAAAACUCUGUUAUUAGGGAAGAAUAAAUGUGUAAGUAACUGUGCACAUCUUGACGGUACCUAAUCAGAAAGCCACGGCUAACUACGUG